Molecule: ribosomal RNA, 341 nt
Filed under: uncultured Pseudomonadota bacterium
Lineage: Bacteria; Pseudomonadati; Pseudomonadota
Description: bacterial SSU rRNA
Rfam family: Bacterial small subunit ribosomal RNA
Source: RNAcentral
AACGAACGCUGGUGGCGUGCUUAACACAUGCAAGUCGAACGCGAAAGUGGUCUUCGGACCGCGAGUAGAGUGGCGCACGGGUGAGUAACGCGUAGGUAAUCUAUCUUUAUGUUCGGGAUACCUAGCCGAAAGGCUAACUAAUACCGGAUACGCUCAUGAGGACGAGAGUUUUUGUGAGGAAAGGUGCCCUCUCCUUGGAAGGUGCCGCAGAGAGACGAGCCUGCGUACCAUUAGCUAGUUGGUGGGGUAAUGGCCUACCAAGGCUACGAUGGUUAGCGGGUCUGAGAGGAUGAUCCGCCACACUGGAACUGGAACACGGACCAGACUCCUACGGGUGGCAG